Long non-coding RNA from Culicoides brevitarsis, 570 nucleotides. RefSeq lists it as uncharacterized. The record is from RefSeq and is a predicted model, not a curated record. NCBI's taxonomy places the organism in Eukaryota, Metazoa, Arthropoda, Insecta, Diptera, Ceratopogonidae. The transcript has 4 exons.
CUUUUGUCAAGAUCACUUCGUGUUAUUCAUAAAAAAAAAUAUUUUUGUAAAGUGAAAAUUAUGUUGAAAAAUUAAAAAAUCAGGAAUUCAUGGAUUCAAAUGCAAGUGCUGAGCCAAUACUCAUACAAAUCUCCGUGUUGCUAACAAUUUACGAGAAAAAACCCGACGAUAAUGUGCCCAGUUUAGACGCCUAAAUGAUGCCAAAUCGAACAAAAACGAUCAGACGUUGAAUGACCGAUAAGCAGAAAAUCCCGCUAACGAAACAACGAUUAAGAGUGACAACAGAAGAAAAAAUCAAUUGUUGACAGAAUUCCCUGCCUCCGUGACGAAGAUGGAUUGUCGUCGUCGUCGUUUGUUCGUUCGUACGUCACCGGAGCAAAAUUCAAAGAGGUGACUGGAUUAUUAUGGACAACUUGAAGCCGCUAAAAGGAGAAGAUCGGGGAAGAGAAUAGCCGUGAUUCAAGCCACUAAUUUUAAGUUGACUUUAAUUAAGCUGUACAUUGUUCAUUUGUGAAGUUUCUUCUAUUUACUGUUUUUUACGCCUUUAACAAUAAACAACUUAUCCGUGAU